AUGCUUAACUAUGUUUUAAAUCAUAGUAAGGAUGAUCCCGUCAUCACGCAUAAGCUGGUCUCCCCUCUCCUAAUAGAGUUUGAUAUAAGGAUCAAGAACGGAGAGCGAGAGGAAGACGAUGAACAGCUGGUAGACGGAGCGAUAACUUGCAACGACUGCAGGGCAUGGAAACCAGUCAAGCAGCGCAUCAAAGGUGAUUGCGGUGCCGUCGACAUAUCCAUGACGUGUGUCGAGAAUGUGUUGGAGGCAACGACAGAGGUAGCCAUAUCAGAAGUGCGCAGCGGUUUCAGUCUAUCUCUGUGGUCCUUCAUUUAUGUCUUGGAUGAUGAGUACGAGGAGAUCCAGCUCUUCCAUGGUGCCAUUGAUCGGCCGUGUAGGUUGGGGAGGUUCGUGGUCGCAAUCACCUGGGGCGACGUGAUGGUGCUGAAGUUUAGGUUGGGUGGGGAAGAUGGCGUCGAACGGCGCCGCUCUUUUAAAUCUCAGCUGCUUGCGUGUUCUAGUCGGCGGAUAAAGCAUGAGCUGGCCAACAUCUUUGGUGAAGGUGACUUUGUCCAGUAUUUGAAUGUCCACAGACUAAUCUGUUGGAAAUAUGAGUAA
This 597-nucleotide ribosomal RNA is filed under the name Triticum aestivum (bread wheat). Its description in RNAcentral is "partial small subunit ribosomal RNA". Lineage: Eukaryota; Viridiplantae; Streptophyta; Magnoliopsida; Poales; Poaceae. The record is from RNAcentral.